CGUAGGGUGCAGGCGUUAAUCGGAAUUACUGGGCGUAAAGCGUGCGCAGGCGGUUUGCUAAGACAGGUGUGAAAUCCCCGAGCUUAACUUGGGAAUUGCGCUUGUAACUGGCAAGCUAGAGUGUGGCAGAGGGGGGUGGAAUUCCACGUGUAGCAGUGAAAUGCGUAGAUAUGUGGAGGAACACCGAUGGCGAAGGCAGCCCCCUGGGUUAACACCUGGACGCUCAUGCACGAAAGCGUGGGGAGCAAACAGGA
Molecule: ribosomal RNA, 254 nt
Filed under: uncultured beta proteobacterium
Lineage: Bacteria; Pseudomonadati; Pseudomonadota; Betaproteobacteria
Description: partial 16S ribosomal RNA
Rfam family: Bacterial small subunit ribosomal RNA
Source: RNAcentral